Molecule: ribosomal RNA, 775 nt
Filed under: uncultured Neocallimastigales
Lineage: Eukaryota; Fungi; Neocallimastigomycota; Neocallimastigomycetes; Neocallimastigales
Description: partial large subunit ribosomal RNA
Rfam family: Eukaryotic large subunit ribosomal RNA
Source: RNAcentral
ACACGCAUGACACACUGCAUAUCAAUAAGCGGAGGAAAAGAAACUAACAAGGAUUCCCUUAGUAACGGCGAGUGAAGCGGGAAGAGCUCAAAUUUGAAAUCUUCAAGGUUCUACCUUGACGAAUUGUAGUUUAUAGAAGUGUUUUCUGUUAGUAGAGUGGCUAAAAGUUCUUUGGAAUAGGACAUCAUAGAGGGUGAGAAUCCCGUAUUUGGUCAUUCAUUCUAGCUUUGUGAUACACUUUCAACGAGUCGGAUUGUUUGGGAAUGCAGCCCAAAAUGGGUGGUAAAUUUCAUCUAAAGCUAAAUAUUGGCGAGAGACCGAUAGCGAACAAGUACCGUGAGGGAAAGAUGAAAAGAACUUUGAAAAGAGAGUUAAACAGUACGUGAAAUUGUCAAAAGGGAAGCGUUUGACACCAGUGUUGUUUUUCCGAAAAUCAAUUACGAAUGUUUUAUUUUUGAGAAGUUAUGACUUCAUCGGCUUGCUUCUCUCUUUAUGAAACUUUCUUAAUGCACUUUUCGGUUAACAAGUCAACAUCAAUUUCUUUUGUUGUAAAAGGGUAAGAGGAAGGUGGCUUGCGCUUCGGCUCAAGUGUUUAUAGCCUUUUAUCUCUGCAAUCGGAGAGAUUGAGGUCUGCAGCGUAGAUCCUUCGGGGUUAGAUACAUUGGUGCUAAGCUAUAGCCUUGUAUAGACAACUUGUUGACUAUGCUCAGUCAUGUAGCUUACUCGCUGAUGCUAUUUUACCUACGCUUAGGAUGUUGAAGAUGUAGCACAUCAU